Marmota monax (woodchuck) is the source of this 4224-nucleotide long non-coding RNA. RefSeq lists it as uncharacterized. The transcript is spliced from 6 exons. The record is from RefSeq and is a predicted model, not a curated record. Lineage: Eukaryota; Metazoa; Chordata; Mammalia; Rodentia; Sciuridae.
CUGGGGGUUGGGUGUUGACUGCGCCUCCCUGUGCACCUCCCUGUACCCGCUGAAAAGUCAAUGCCCUUCCCAACAGAGGAGCCCCUAAGAUUGGGUAGGCAAGAGAAUGGCCUCAAGGGUGAUUGCUGCGGCAGUACUUUCAAGCUUCUCUUCAUGUGCACUGUGCUAAGUGCACUAACAAUCCAGCAAAGUUCACCCAUGAGUUACCCCCACUUUGCAAGGCUCAGAAAAGCUUGCUGGAUGGGAAAUGGUAUGGCAGGAAUGUGCCAGAACCUAACAUCUGCCAGGUAUGUGCAGGGACUUUGAAUAUUUUCUCUAGCAAGUAGCUCUUUCCAACCACAGAACAAACCUGCCAAGCAGAGUCAGAAGCACACUUGCUGGGCCCUGCUUCUCUUGUGUCCACUUCACCAGGGCCUCACUCCAGGCUGCAGACACACUGGAAACUGGGUAGAGUCUGGAAGGCCCACUGGUCAGCUAGAGGCGUCUGAGAGCAUACCCUUUCUAGUAGGCUGUACUGAAGUCAUUCACCCAAUCUCCCCUCCCUAAGCCCAUCUCCACUGGCCCCUGGCACCUUCCUCCCCUCUCCCCCAUCCUAGAGGAAAAAGGGAAAGUCCCAGGCAAGCCCUCAGCAUGGUCCUUGGCAUCCAAGGUAUAAGUGACCAAUCCUGGUGGAUUUCCAAGCUUAUUUCUACUGGUUUUUCACCAGGGUUUAGCUGGAUUCCUUCAAAACCCAAAGUUAUUUCCUUUCCCUUCCCAUGGGGACUCUGAAUUUGCAAUGUUCUCUGGCCCAGACAUGCUCUCAGAGAAUCCUUGAUUUUCCCUGUUCUUCUCUCAUGCAGCAGCCACCUGCAUUCCUCUCCAUUCAGCUGAGAACCAGCAAGAUGGGGAGGAGCCAAGUCCAGAAUCCCCAACAGCAGGCCCUCAGCUACCUCAAAUCUAGCCUCAAGAGCCUUACAGAGGCCCAAAGGAAACUAGUGACCUGUCAGUCCCCAGGACAUGCCAGGCACCCUGCAUUCCUGUCCUCUAAUAUUCUUUUCACUAAAGUCCUACUUUCUCUAGUCAAAUGCCAGUGUCUUCUCGAUACCCAGAAUUAUCUGGAUCUCUGGGUCACUUGGCUAAGCUUCAAUCAUCCAAUGACAUAAGUUGGUCUUGGUUCUGGCCACUCCCAUACUGCUGACUCUGGUGUCAGGGGGAGGGCCACCUGAGAAACAGGAACCCCAGGAAAAAGAUGGGGCCUGUUGCCACCAAAUCAGCUUCCUGCCAGGGCAGGCUGGUACCUAGACCUGUGACUAGGAACUGAAGCCAACAGCCAGAAAAGCGCAGUCUCCCUGUAAUGAGGGAGAUGGGGUGAUGUUUCGGAUGCCACCUGGUGGCCAAGGCAGGUAAAAGAAUGAACAAGAUAAAAAGCACCUGUAAUUGCAUCAACCAGAGAUGACCACCCAUAAUUUCUGAUUAGCUUUACUCUCUGUAUUCCUGGACAAGAAACCAGAAAAGAAGUAGAAAUCAUCAUUCCACUCCUGUAGCUGCAGAAAGUGGCUGUCCUGUUGUGUGUCCUCAGAGCUCCCUGUGUCUCUCCCUCACAGUACUUUGUGUGACUACAUGACAUAAAUUACUUGUGUACGUGUCACCUUCCCUAUCACAAUCUAAGUUCCGCACAGCAGGGCCACAUGGUCUUGUUUGCAGCUUUGUCUCUGGAGCUAAGCAUCAGACUGGACUUACCGCUGGUGCUCAGUACGUAGUUCGGCUAUGAAUUCAGACUGAAUGAGGACUCCACUUGGAAGGAUGUGUGUCACAUCCAGUCAUAGGGCCAUCGGAGACUGGGACAGGAAGAUGUCUUGAGUGACAACUCUGAGACUCUGAAAUGGUGCUGGCAGAGUGUACUCAAAAGGAUGUCCUAGAGCUCCAAUCUGUCCUAUUCACGGGCUUUGGACAUACAGCCAGCUGUGCCAGGGUUGGAAGUGGGUGUUGGUGACUGGUUCUGCAAGUAAGAAGAAUCACCUUCUAUAGAGUGCUCUUCCCCAGGCCCUGUGGACAUUCUCUUUCUCUUGCAUGCUUUUCUUAACUCUCUGGUCCGGAUGCCUUGCAUCUGCCUUUCAAAUGCACAUGGAGCCCUUUCCAUCCCCACUCCACCAAGUCUAACAUCAGAAAUCCUCAUUUCUGCAUUUCUGUAGGAGAAGCUAUAGGAAGAGCUGACAGUUCUAGCUGCAUCAGGCAGGAACUCUGCUGAGAAGUGAUAGUGCUGAUGGAUUACUUGGGUGUUCAUGAGCACGUGGCAUCUCAUCACACUCAGCAGGGAGGCAGGAUCAUGGCCACAGAACAAGUUUCCAUGGACUCAGGGAACUGAAGACUUACUUCCUUAUUUCUGUUGCUGGCAUCAUCUGUCUCCCACAUUGGUUUGAUUGGUUCCCCAAUCUGUGGAAAUCUUCCAUAGAAGACAUGGACAGAUAGAUGUGGAUAUCCAGGAGAAUCCUCUAGAAAUGGAAAGGAAGCUGUAGAUCUCAUUCAAAAAGAAUCCCUUUGGGGACAUGGAAAAUGCAAAAUGUAUUCAACAGGACUUGUGAAAUAGGGGCAAUGAUGGGAGGGAAGGAGGAGGAUAAAGUGAGUCAUUUUGAUGAGUAGAUGGGACUCUUCCAGCCUAUUUUCUUGGUUUCCUAGGUAGGGAGAGCUGCCACAGGACUUCAUAAACCACAACUUUCCAAUGAGUGUGGUUGGUUCAUUUUGAUGUAUUGAGCAGCAGGGGCUUGUGGAAGUCCUGGAGAGACUCUGCUAUCCCUGGGCAAUUGUCAGGAUCUAGUACAGCUGGUAACUCAGAAGAAGCUGGUUGGGAUGGCCAUGGUGUGAAAAAGGAUACACAUGGGCUAUGGAAAUAAGGUGGUCCUCCUCCCAGUGUCUAAAUGAGGAUAACAUGUCACCAAUAUAUCGCAGCAAAGGAAUGGGACCAAUUCAUCAGACCAGUGGUCACCAUUCCAUUCUGCUGGUUUUAGCUUCUGGAAAUGGAACUAUAGAUGUGGACAGUUCUGGACCCGUGUCCCCCCGACACAAUUUACCACAAACUGCAGUGUGUGGACUGCACAAGAAUGGAUGCUCUGGGAAAAUAAUGAAAAUAGUUUUGUGCAUUAGAGAACAUGGUUUAUAAAGCUUUCUGCAAUUUGCUAUUUAGACUUAACAGCCCUUCAGGUCUUUAGGGAAGGUGCCAUUAUUGCCACUUUGCAGAUAGGUCAACCAGUUUCAAAAACAACUUCUCCAGAACCAUAUCACUUGUAAGUUACUGAGCUAACAAUCUAAUUCAAAGACAGGUAUUUAAUUCAAGUUCAGAUUCAAGGCUCUUAGAUUUUGCUGACGUUGUCAAGAGGUUGCCUGAGCCUCUGAUCCCCUCUGUUUGCCAUUUUAAUAGAAAAGUCAAGUGCCUGCAGACUCCAGAGGAUGUGGAGAAGUAUUGGACACAAAAUCAUCAGGAGAUUCCACUUGAUUACCACAUUUGCAAUUUCUGGAGUAAGGUUGGAUAUCAUCAGAAUUCAGAGGACUUGCUGAGAUUUCUCAAGCCAUGUUGCAUAACCUGUGUCCUGUGGCAUGUGGGCUGAUCCACACACAAGGGGCAUGUGCAGCACUGGGCAGGGAAGAGCAACAGGAUGUAUCCCAGUUAAAUAACCAUGAGUAAAGCAGUCUGUCCUGGCCUUGAAUUCUCAGAAUGGGGAGACUUGUCACAUGAUGAACCUCCCCAAGUCCAUUCAAAGCACUGCUGAUCACAGGCCUUUUCCAGAAUUCCAAAUUCCCCAAAGGGAACAAGAAAACACCUGUUGCCUCUUUCCCUGCUGCUCAGAAUCACAUUGUUGGCUUCCUGUUUCUCCCCUCUGUCUCAAAGUCCAGUGUUACAAAUCAGAGAGACGUCCUGGUGCUAUUGUGGGUGAGAGGCAGCAGUUCCCCUUACCUUCCCACCAAGUUGAUCUAACAUAAGAUGAUUGGCACUGGUGCAGUUUCUCAUCCUUUUCCCCCAAACAAAACACGCACUUUGGCCACUUUGGCUCGGCACAGUGGCGCAUGCCUGAAAUCCCAGUAGCUCGGGAGGCUGAGGCAGGAGGAUGGCAAGUUCAAAGCCAGUCUCAGCAGCGGUGGGACGCUAAGCAACUCAGUGAAACCCUGUAUCUAAAUAAAAUACAAAAUAGGGCUGGGGAUGUGGUUCAGUGGCUGGGUGCCCCUGAGUUUAAUCCCCAGUACUCCCCCCGC